Molecule: ribosomal RNA, 448 nt
Filed under: uncultured bacterium
Lineage: Bacteria
Description: bacterial SSU rRNA
Rfam family: Bacterial small subunit ribosomal RNA
Source: RNAcentral
UCGGGAAUUUUGGGCAAUGGGGGAAACCCUGACCCAGCAACGCCGCGUGAAGGAUGAAGUAUUUCGGUAUGUAAACUUCGAAAGAAUAGGAAGAAUAAAUGACGGUACUAUUUAUAAGGUCCGGCUAACUACGUGCCAGCAGCCGCGGUAAUACGUAGGGACCAAGCGUUGUUCGGAUUUACUGGGCGUAAAGGGCGCGUAGGCGGCAUGACAAGUCACUUGUGAAAUCUCUGGGCUUAACCCAGAACGGCCAAGUGAUACUGUCGCGCUAGAGUGCAGAAGGGGCAAUCGGAAUUCUUGGUGUAGCGGUGAAAUGCGUAGAUAUCAAGAGGAACACCUGAGGUGAAGACGGGUUGCUGGGCUGGACACUGACGCUGAGGCGCGAAAGCCAGGGGAGCAAACGGGAUUAGAUACCCCAGUAGUCCCUGAGCGGGCUGGCAAGGCGCAU